RNAcentral lists this ribosomal RNA (253 nucleotides) under uncultured bacterium. RNAcentral describes it as "partial 16S ribosomal RNA". It matches the Rfam family "Bacterial small subunit ribosomal RNA", at positions 524 to 776 of the family's 1533-position model. The record is from RNAcentral.
UACGUAGGUGGCAAGCGUUGUCCGGAAUUAUUGGGCGUAAAGCGCGCGCAGGCGGUCCUUUAAGUCUGAUGUGAAAGCCCACGGCUCAACCGUGGAGGGUCAUUGGAAACUGGGGGACUUGAGUGCAGGAGAGAAGAGUGGAAUUCCACGUGUAGCGGUGAAAUGCGUAGAGACGUGGAGGAACACCAGUGGCGAAGGCGACUCUUUGGCCUGUAACUGACGCUGAGGCGCGAAAGCGUGGGGAGCGAACAGG